UUUACAUGAUGAUUAUUCUUUAAGAAUUCUGCAAUUCCUACAAUCUCCUCUUUUGUGAGAUUGGAUGCUGACAGUUCUACACUUGAUCUGAUU
This 93-nucleotide small nucleolar RNA is filed under the name Aspergillus wentii DTO 134E9. RNAcentral describes it as "A. fumigatus snoRNA Afu_191". It matches the Rfam family "A. fumigatus snoRNA Afu_191". Lineage: Eukaryota; Fungi; Ascomycota; Eurotiomycetes; Eurotiales; Aspergillaceae. The record is from Rfam by way of RNAcentral.